CCGCCUUCUUCAAAAAUGGCGACACAAUUGUGGAUUUAUGGAAUAUCGUCAUUGUCUGACGUGGUACUCCAUGGUCCUCCUUUCAUGUCGUCCUGGGAGCGCAAAGAUCUUGGAGAGUGGAACCAUCCAGGCUGUUUUAUGUAAUCCAGUCUCCCCCACCUUGUAAUGAAAGAGACCUCUGGGAUAGGGGUGUGAGGUGAGCUGCACCCAGUCCUGACCUCCCCUCCUGCAUCACAAUCUAGGCCUACUGUGACACCAACACACACACACACACACACACACCCUUUCCCCUUUCAACAUAUCAUCUGUCACUGGCUCUUCCUUGCAUGGCGCAACAAGGCCCCUCCACCCCAUUCCGGCCGUCUGCAUUGCACUUCAAGCGGCCGUGCCGAAGCAAGGUGGUGACAGCUUCUCUCUCAGUGGCGGCAGAGAGAGGCCAUCCAUCCAUCCAUCCAUCCAUCCAUCCCCUGGCACGGCAGAAAACCCCUCCGCUACAAAGCCAUUGUGUCUACCCAAACAGUAACAGCCUUUUCAUCAAAACAUUUGCCCCCAAGUUCAAAUAAAACAUAUCAGCAAGUUGA
Long non-coding RNA from Doryrhamphus excisus (bluestripe pipefish), 581 nucleotides. RefSeq lists it as uncharacterized. NCBI's taxonomy places the organism in Eukaryota, Metazoa, Chordata, Actinopteri, Syngnathiformes, Syngnathidae. The record is from RefSeq and is a predicted model, not a curated record.